RNAcentral lists this ribosomal RNA (440 nucleotides) under uncultured bacterium. RNAcentral's name for it is "bacterial SSU rRNA". It matches the Rfam family "Bacterial small subunit ribosomal RNA", at positions 28 to 451 of the family's 1533-position model. The record is from RNAcentral.
GAUGAACGCUGGCGGCGUGCUUAACACAUGCAAGUCGAACGGGAAACUUUUCGUUGAAGCUUCGGCAGAUUUGGUCUGUUUCUAGUGGCGGACGGGUGAGUAACGCGUGGGUAACCUGCCUUAUACAGGGGGAUAACAACCAGAAAUGGUUGCUAAUACCGCAUAAGCGCACAGGACCGCAUGGUCCGGUGUGAAAAACUCCGGUGGUAUAAGAUGGACCCGCGUUGGAUUAGCUAGUUGGCAGGGUAACGGCCUACCAAGGCGACGAUCCAUAGCCGGCCUGAGAGGGUGAACGGCCACAUUGGGACUGAGACACGGCCCAGACUCCUACGGGAGGCAGCAGUGGGGAAUAUUGCACAAUGGGGGAAACCCUGAUGCAGCGACGCCGCGUGAAGGAAGAAGUAUCUCGGUAUGUAAACUUCUAUCAGCAGGGAAGAUAG